Molecule: ribosomal RNA, 476 nt
Filed under: uncultured organism
Description: partial 16S ribosomal RNA
Rfam family: Bacterial small subunit ribosomal RNA
Source: RNAcentral
CGUACACUCCUGCGGGAGGCAGCAGUGGGGAAUAUUGCACAAUGGGCGCAAGCCUGAUGCAGCCAUGCCGCGUGUAUGAAGAAGGCCUUCGGGUUGUAAAGUACUUUCAGCGGGGAGGAAGGCGAUAAGGUUAAUAACCUUGUUGAUUGACGUUACCCGCAGAAGAAGCACCGGCUAACUCCGUGCCAGCAGCCGCGGUAAUACGGAGGGUGCAAGCGUUAAUCGGAAUUACUGGGCGUAAAGCGCACGCAGGCGGUCUGUCAAGUCGGAUGUGAAAUCCCCGGGCUCAACCUGGGAACUGCAUUCGAAACUGGCAGGCUAGAGUCUUGUAGAGGGGGGUAGAAUUCCAGGUGUAGCGGUGAAAUGCGUAGAGAUCUGGAGGAAUACCGGUGGCGAAGGCGGCCCCCUGGACAAAGACUGACGCUCAGGUGCGAAAGCGUGGGGAGCAAACAGGAUUAGAUACCCUUGUAGUCCCA